Molecule: long non-coding RNA, 581 nt
Filed under: Chinchilla lanigera (long-tailed chinchilla)
Lineage: Eukaryota; Metazoa; Chordata; Mammalia; Rodentia; Chinchillidae
Description: lncRNA (ENSCLAG00000022984.1)
Source: RNAcentral
CGCCCCCGGAGCCCGCGCGCCGCCGUCGUUCCUCGUCCGGCUCGGGGCGCGCGGCCGCUGCGUCUGGGCUGAGCGCCGGGACGCUGUCGCCCUGAAGCGCUGUCGGACCUUGAGGCGUAUGGAACCUCAAGGUCUUUGUGACAAUGGAAACCAAAAAAUUAAUUGGUAAAUCGCUUCAACCAGCAAGACCUGUUCAUCAUCUGACUUCUUCCUCAGGAGCAGUGUUGCCUUUCAAUUUUCAAAGUGAAUAUCCAUGCAACACCCAGUGCUUACAAAGUGGAAUUAGCAGAUGUAAGGUGAAUGGAAAGCAAGCCUUUUCUCAAGGUCUUAAUGAAGAGCAGCAACAUCAGUCUCCAGUUAAAAAAGAGAGAAUUAAAUACAGCAGAGAUUUCCUGUUGAAACUCUCAAGUGUUUCCAUCUGCAGAAAAAAACCAGACUUUCUGCCUGAUCAUCCCAUUGUACUUCAAACACUAGUAAGUAGUUUUUGGAUUUUGUAUUGUAAUAUUGUAUUCCAAUUAUUUAUCUUUAACAUGUUUUAUUCUACUUGUAGAUUCUUAAUUUUUCUUAUUGUAAAAUAUUAG